This 301-nucleotide ribosomal RNA is filed under the name uncultured bacterium. RNAcentral describes it as "partial 16S ribosomal RNA". It matches the Rfam family "Bacterial small subunit ribosomal RNA", at positions 509 to 808 of the family's 1533-position model. The record is from RNAcentral.
CAGCAGCCGCGGUAAUACGAGGGGAGCUAGCGUUAUUCGGAAUUACUGGGCGUAAAGCGCACGUAGGCGGCUUUGUAAGUUGGAGGUGAAAGCCCAGAGCUCAACUCUGGAAUUGCCUUUAAGACUGCAUCGCUUGAAUCCAGGAGAGGUGAGUGGAAUUCCGAGUGUAGAGGUGAAAUUCGUAGAUAUUCGGAAGAACACCAGUGGCGAAGGCGGCUCACUGGACUGGUAUUGACGCUGAAGUGCGAAAGCGUGGGGAGCAAACAGGAUUAGAUACCCCGUAGUCCCUGUCUCUUAUACC